AAAGUGUUAUUUGACUGGAGUGAGGUCUCAUGUCUGCUUAUGCGGUGGCUCGCUGCUCAGAACAGGGAGGAAGAGGGUAAUCUGGAAGAGUUUCCUGACCUACUCUGCUGCUGUGAUUAAACAACCACCAGGAAAUUUUGAUGACACUGUUCUCCUGAGCUCCUCCCUUUCCUCGGGGAAGAAAAGCAUUGAAACUACAAAAAUAAAGUGUUAUUUGGCUGGAGUGAGGUCUCAUGUCUGCUUAUGCGGUGGCUCGCUGCUCAGAACAGGGAACCAUUGGAGAUACUCAUUACUCUUUGAAGGCUUACAGUGGAAUGAAUUCAAAUACGACUUAUUUGAGGAAUUGAAGUUGACUUUAUGGAGCUGAUAAGAAUCUUCUUGGAGAAAAAAAGACUGGGUAUAUUUUCAAUAUGCUUUCCUUUUAAGGUCCCUCACCUGUGGAAAGUAAAGAAUGUCACUUUCUGACAGGCUCAGGAACCUCAAGUUAUGUAGGGAUCUCAAGAAGAUGGGGGAAUUCACCCAGUUCAUACAGGUGAAAUUGCUGUUGCAAAGAUUAUGAAUAUGAGAGAAGUCCAGCAUGGCUGACUUCAUCUCGUGUCUGGCCUCAGGCUGGCUGCCCUUGCUCACUCUUGGGCAUAGGCCAAGCUAGCCAUGGGAGGAAUUUAGUUUAUAGUUUAACUUUGAAGCACGGAUGAUAAUAGUCUCUCCCUAAAAUGAACCCCUUCCUUGCUCAGGGACUGAAACUACCUUUGUAUGACAAAUGAAAGCCCACAAGAUUAAGAUUAUGAGAGGGGCCUGAAUUCUGCUAAAAUGCAGGUGUAGCUGACUGAUAACAAGUCAUUGUCCCACAGCUUGCCUUUCUAUAAUCUCUUGCUUCUCAGGAGUCACAUGGCCAGAGGUCCUGAGAUUUCCAGUCCUGUGACCCCCACCCAGAGAUGGACUUAGUGCAUGAGGACCAUUUUCCACACCCCUAUGAUUUCAUCCUCAAACAAUCAGCAGCAACCAUUCCCUAGCCCCCUGCCUUCCAAAUUAUCCAUAAAAAUCCUAGCCUCUGAGUUAUUAGGGAGAUUGAUUAAUAAUCCCAGUCCUACCCCUUGGGUUGCUCUGAUUUAAUUAAACCUUCUCUACUGCAAUACCACGGACUCAGUAAAUUGGUUUUGUCUGUGCAAUGGGCAAGAAGAACAUGUUGCAUGGUUAUACAGGUACUACAAGCACAGUCUGAUGGCAAAUUAUUGGUUUUGCUUCCUGCCCUUGAUGUUUCUAAACAUCUAGUCCAAAAUUACUUGUGAAAGGUCCAGCAAAGCCAAUUUUAAAAGAGGCUAUAUGGCCAAUCACUAUUCUUUCUACACAUUAUUGCAAAUAAUCAGGCCACGGCUGGGCACGGUGGCUCAUGCCUGCAAUCCCAGCACUUUGGGAGGCUGAGGCAGGAUCACCUGAAAUCAGGAGUUCAAGACCAGCCUAGGCAACAUGAUAAAACCCUGUCUCUACUAAAAAUACAAAAUUAGCCAGGCAUGGUGGCAUGCACCUGUAAUCCCAGCUACUUGGGAGACUGAGGGAGGAGAAUCACUUGAACCUGGGAGGCAGAGAUUGCAGUGAGCUGAGAUCACACCACUGCACUCCAGCCUGGGCAAUAGAGUGAGACUUUGUCUCAAAUAAUAAUAAUAAUAAUCAGACCAAGUAUAAUGAAAUUAAAAUUUAUUUUGCAAAUAAAUUGGUCCUACUACAAUUUAUCCUUCAUAGAAAUGUGGAAACUGAAGAUAAAAAAAAUUAGGUUUCAGAAGAAAACUAUACUACACCUGUUAUUAGAUUCUAGCCCUAAACAUUGUUUUUGAGGUUUUUAUUAUUUACCUGCAAUUUGGUCUAAAUUCUGAAUUAUUUCCUGACUACAAGUAUCCAAGGAAUAAAUGGGUUUUCUUUUUCUUUAUGAUAGUUUUAGUUGGCUUCUAAUGCAACAACAAUUUUUAUUGUAAUCCUGUGUGCAUUCUAUUCCUACUAUUCAAAUUAUUAAUGUUAUAGAUCUUUCAUUGUAGUACUUCUGAAUUAACCAAAAUCACAGUAUUCUGAAGAUGAUUCUACAAAGCCUGCUGUUUCUACAAAGGCUGCUGAUGAUUUCUACAAAGCCUGCUGUAGUGUUGCUGUGGCCUCUGCUUAAAAAAGUAGAAAACACAUUGAUGCAGCAUGUUCACCCCAACCUCCCUGCCUAAAGGCUCAGGGACCAUCUUGGAAGAGGAAGGCGCGUGAGAUUGUAAGAGCCGAAUUAGGGGGAUGGAGUGUGGAGAAUAAGGACACUUCAUCUUGGAUGCUCACCUGCCAAAUUGACUUCUGAUGAAAGCCAGCUCCAGAAAUGUGCCUACAGUUACUACUUUCACCUAAACCCUGCCCUUAGUCAAAUCCUUCUCUUCUUCUAAGCAAUCAACUUCAAUUCCUUGUAUAACCCACAGUAUAAAAGGGCUUUUAUACCAUUCUAUCCUAUUGCAUGUAAGCCUUGGGUCUGGGAGGUAACAGUGUGGGAUUCCACCAUCUCAUCUCCCUGCCACCCAAACAUGCCUGCUCUUCUUUAAGCA
Molecule: long non-coding RNA, 2564 nt
Filed under: Homo sapiens (human)
Lineage: Eukaryota; Metazoa; Chordata; Mammalia; Primates; Hominidae
Description: HSALNT0397987
Source: RNAcentral